Non-coding RNA from Glycine max (soybean), 132 nucleotides. The record is from Rfam. NCBI's taxonomy places the organism in Eukaryota, Viridiplantae, Streptophyta, Magnoliopsida, Fabales, Fabaceae.
UUCUUAUCAGAUGAUGACUAUCACGUGUCAUGUUCUGAUUGGUCAACUCCAUGAAAGAUGAAAUACAUUGUUGUUUUCAUUGAUCAAUUAGAACAUAUCUAAUAAGAACAUGAGACGUGGCAGUCAACAUCA